Molecule: ribosomal RNA, 253 nt
Filed under: uncultured bacterium
Lineage: Bacteria
Description: partial 16S ribosomal RNA
Rfam family: Bacterial small subunit ribosomal RNA
Source: RNAcentral
UACAGAGGUCUCGAGCGUUUUUCGGAUUCAUUGGGCGUAAAGGGCGCGUAGGCGGCGGGGUAAGUCUGGUGUGAAAUCUAGGAGCUCAACUCCUAAACUGCACUGGAUACUGCUCUGCUAGAGGACUGGAGAGGAGACUGGAAUUCACGGUGUAGCAGUGAAAUGCGUAGAUAUCGUGAGGAAGACCAGUGGCGAAGGCGGGUCUCUGGACAGUUCCUGACGCUGAGGCGCGAAGGCCAGGGGAGCAAACGGG